RNAcentral lists this transfer RNA (96 nucleotides) under Deltaproteobacteria bacterium. RNAcentral's name for it is "tRNA-Sec". It matches the Rfam family "Selenocysteine transfer RNA". Lineage: Bacteria; Pseudomonadati; Myxococcota; Myxococcia. The record is from RNAcentral.
GGAAGUGUCUGGGCCCUGGUGGGCCUCCUGGACUUCAAAUCCAGUGGCGGGCUGAUAAGGGCCCGUGGCGGGUUCGAUUCCCGUACACUUCCGCCA